UUGAUAUCUAGCUGCAGACCCUAGGAAACUAGGGAGCCUUCGAGGGUGCUAGACAGGUGCUGCAUGGUUGCCGUCAGCUCGUGUCGUGAGAUGUACCGUUAAGUCGGGAAACGAGCGCAACCCCUAUCUUGUGUUUUAUAUGUCGCAAGAAACUGCCCGCUUUAAGUGGGAGGAAGGUGGGGACGACGUCAAAUCAGCAUGGUCCUUACGUCUGGGGCGACACACGUGCUACAAUGGGAAGUACAAAGGGACGCCAAGCCGCAAGGCGGAGCAAAUCCCCCAAAACUUCUCUCAGUUCGGAUUGGGGUCUGCAACUCGACCCCAUGAAGCUGGAAUCGCUAGUAAACGCGCAUCAGCCACGGCGCGUUGAAUACGUUCUCGGGUCUUGUACUCACCGCCCGUCACACCAAGAGAGCCGGUAAUGCCCGAAGGCUGUACCUAGUACGGACGAAGGCAGGACUGGUAAUAAGGGUGAAGUCGUAACAAGGUA
Molecule: ribosomal RNA, 490 nt
Filed under: uncultured bacterium
Lineage: Bacteria
Description: bacterial SSU rRNA
Rfam family: Bacterial small subunit ribosomal RNA
Source: RNAcentral